AGAGUUUGAUCCUGGCUCAGGAUGAACGCUAGCGACAGGCUUAACACAUGCAAGUCGAGGGGCAGCACAGGGUAGCAAUACUUGGGUGGCGACCGGCGCACGGGUGAGUAACGCGUAUGCAACUUACCUAUCAGAGGGGGAUAGCCCGGCGAAAGUCGGAUUAAUACCCCAUGAAACAGGGGUCCCGCAUGGGAAUAUUUGUUAAAGAUUCAUCGCUGAUAGAUAGGCAUGCGUUCCAUUAGGCAGUUGGCGGGGUAACGGCCCACCAAACCGACGAUGGAUAGGGGUUCUGAGAGGAAGGUCCCCCACAUUGGUACUGAGACACGGACCAAACUCCUACGGGAGGCAGCAGUGAGGAAUAUUGGUCAAUGGCCGAGAGGCUGAACCAGCCAAGUCGCGUGAAGGAAGAAGGAUCUAUGGUUUGUAAACUUCUUUUAUAGGGGAAUAAAGUGGAGGACGUGUCCUUUUUUGUAUGUACCCUAUGAAUAAGCAUCGGCUAACUCCGUGCCAGCAGCCGCGGUAAUGCGUAGGGGGCAAGCGUUAUCCGGAUUUACUGGGUGUAAAGGGAGCGUAGGCGGCGGAGCAAGUCAGAAGUGAAAGCCCGGGGCUCAACCCCGGGACGGCUUUUGAAACUGCCCUGCUUGAUUUCAGGAGAGGUAAGCGGAAUUCCUAGUGUAGCGGUGAAAUGCGUAGAUAUCGGGAGGAACACCAGUGGCGAAGGCGACCUACUGGGCACCAACUGACGCUGAGGCUCGAAAGCAUGGGUAGCAAACAGGAUUAGAUACCCUGGUAGUCCAUGCCGUAAACGAUGAUUAC
Molecule: ribosomal RNA, 816 nt
Filed under: uncultured bacterium
Lineage: Bacteria
Description: bacterial SSU rRNA
Rfam family: Bacterial small subunit ribosomal RNA
Source: RNAcentral